CCUACGGGAGGCAGCAGUGAGGAAUAUUGGUCAAUGGACGCGAGUCUGAACCAGCCAAGUAGCGUGAAGGAUGACUGCUCUAGGGGUUGUAACCUUCUUUUAUAUGGGAGUAAAAUGUUCGAUGCGUGUUAUUUUGUCUGUACCUUAUGACUUAGGAUCGGCUAACUCCGUGCCAGCAGCCGCGGUAAUACGGAGGUUGCGAGCGUUAUACGGAUUUAUUGGGUUGAAAGGGUGUGUAGGUGGUUAAACAAGUCAGCGGUGAAAGUUUGUGGCUCAACCAUAGAAUUGCAGUUGAAACUGGUUGACUUGAGUAUAGUAGAGGUAGGCGGAAUGCGUGGUGUAGCGGUGAAAUGCAUAGAUAUAAGGCAGAACACCAGUUGCGAAGGCGGAUGACUAGACGAUAACUGACAGUGAGGCGCGAAAGCGUGGGGAGCAAACAGGAUUAGAUACCCUGGUAGUC
RNAcentral lists this ribosomal RNA (460 nucleotides) under uncultured bacterium. RNAcentral describes it as "partial 16S ribosomal RNA". It matches the Rfam family "Bacterial small subunit ribosomal RNA", at positions 338 to 795 of the family's 1533-position model. The record is from RNAcentral.